UACGUAGGCAGCGAGCGUUGUUCGGAGUUACUGGGCGUAAAGGGUGUGUAGGCGGUUGUUUAAGUUUGGUGUGAAAUCUCCCGGCUCAACUGGGAGGGUGCGCCGAAUACUGAAUGACUUGGAGUGCGGGAGAGGAAAGUGGAAUUCCUGGUGCAGCGGUGAAAUGCGUAGAUAUCAGGAGGAACACCGGUGGUGUAGACGGCUUUCUGGACCGUAACUGACGCUGAGACACGAAAGCGUGGGUAGCAAACAGG
This 254-nucleotide ribosomal RNA is filed under the name uncultured bacterium. Its description in RNAcentral is "partial 16S ribosomal RNA". It matches the Rfam family "Bacterial small subunit ribosomal RNA", at positions 524 to 776 of the family's 1533-position model. The record is from RNAcentral.